GACGAACGCUGGCGGCGUGCUUAACACAUGCAAGUCGAACGGAAAGGCCCUGCUUUUGUGGGGUGCUCGAGUGGCGAACGGGUGCGUAACACGUGAGUAACCUGCCCUUGACUUUGGGAUAACUUCAGGAAACUGGGGCUACUACCGGAUAGGAGCUCCUGCUGCAUGGUGGGGGUUGGAACGUUUCGGCGGUUGGGGAUGGACUCGCGGCUUAUCAGCUUGUUGGUGGGGUAGUGGCUUACCAAGGCUUUGAAGGGUAGCCGGCCUGAGAGGGUGACCGGCCACAAUGGUACUGAGAUACGGCCCAGAGUCCUACGGGAGGCAGCAGGGGGGAAUAUUGCACAAUGGGCGGAAGCCGGAGGCAGCAACGCCGCGGGCGGGAUGACGGCCUUCGGGUUGUAAACCGCUUUCGCCUGUGACGAAGCGUGAGUGACGGUAAUGGGUAAAGAAGCACCGGCUAACUACGUG
RNAcentral lists this ribosomal RNA (468 nucleotides) under uncultured bacterium. RNAcentral describes it as "partial 16S ribosomal RNA". It matches the Rfam family "Bacterial small subunit ribosomal RNA", at positions 28 to 507 of the family's 1533-position model. The record is from RNAcentral.